AAAGACAAUUAUGAGAGGACUGAUGAAUGGACAAUGAAGAACUAAACUAUAUUUUUAUUUGAAUUGAAUGAUUUCAAACACAAAAUAUAGGGUUAGUUUAUCCAUUUUUAACAAUCAGUUUGCAUUGUAUUUGUCAUGACACAAAUGGCAAAUCGUAUUUAUUUAGUGAAAGACUAAUCCUUCCAAUGCACAAGUGGAGGGAUUUUUUC
This 209-nucleotide small RNA is filed under the name Lysinibacillus fusiformis ZC1. RNAcentral describes it as "Bacillus sRNA ncr1575". It matches the Rfam family "Bacillus sRNA ncr1575". Lineage: Bacteria; Bacillati; Bacillota; Bacilli; Caryophanales; Bacillaceae. The record is from Rfam by way of RNAcentral.